UCUCAACAGGAAUGACCCCAAGUUUAUCAGAAGGCUCCUGUGGCUCCAGGGUCAACUCUGGGCAUAUCUGACUACAUCACUCCACCCCUACCAUGGUCUCUCCUCUGUACCCCAGCGUUCCAGGGUACUGUCUUCUGAGAGCGCACUUGUCUGCCAACCCCAGUAGCCAGGACUCAGCAUACCUGGCAAACACCUUCAAAACUAGCAAAUCAUGCUGGCUAUCUGCCCCAGGUAGGGCCUUAGCAACUGGCUUCAAGUUGAGAUAAAGUGACAGUGCUUUUCAGGGAUACAGUUUGAAGAUUUCCUGGGCUAUUGUUGCUUCUGGGGUGUUAGGAUUCUAAUAAUUACAACAGGACCCUGUGUAUGUGGUGGGGUUGGAGAGAGCAUCUCAGUACCUCUCCAAGUUCAUCCUCACUAUCUUGAACUGGGGUAUCUUACAUCUCUAUACCAGUGUUUUGCAACCCUGGCUGUACAAACACCAAUGCAGGGGUCUUACCCCUACAGAUUCUGAUUAAUUCAUCUGGUUUGGGGCCUGGGCAUUGGUAUUUGUAAAGUUCUCCAGGUGAUUCUCGUGUGUAGCCAGGGUUGAGAACCACUUUAAGGCCUUUCUGCCUCAGUCAGGGAGGCAAGAGGCUGCAGGUGAUUUUGAGGGAGAAGGGUCAAUAGAGUAAGGGAGGAAGAAACAGGAAACUAGCAGAGUCCCCGGGGGGAGAGAAUGUGUUAUCCUAAAGACCCUUGGUCACAGCCAUGCAGCUGGGCAAACAGAUAACGCCUGGUGGAACAACAGAAGCUGGACCAUGAGAAGGGCAGACAGCAGAAAAUGCCCAGAGAAGGGUUCAAUUUCUUCUUUGGAAGGUGAUGGUAAGGGUGUGGCUCCAGAUUAACUGGUUCUACAGCUCCAGGCAAGGGAGAUGGAAGGCUGAGGGGAGCAGGUCCAUCAGGGAGCAGUUGGGGGAGAACCUAGAGAGGCACUGUCUGUACACUCCAGGGCCAGUGCCCAAGGCCAGAUGCUCCUCAUCUAUUCUCUAAACCACCCCAGGAUCCUCUUGAAGCUUAAGCUAGUUUAGAUUGAGCUUCUGUCACUUUCAACUGAAGCUUGACUAGUAAAAACUCCUGAGGUUAAAGCCUCUAUUGGGUAAAAGAAUUAGAACCAGUGGGAUAGUCCCAGAAAAGAGCUGUGUGGGCUAGGGGCACUGUGAAGACCCAGGGGACAUUGGAACCUGGCCCUGUGCUGUCUUCCAGGAGGAGUGGUACACCCCAGAGAAAUGGCCAGGACAUCAUCAAGAAAGUGAACAGACAACACACACACAGAAUGAGAGAAAAUAUUUGCAAAUCAUUGGUAAAGGACUGGAAUUGGUAUGUCAAAUAUGUGAACAAGUCUUACAACUCAAUAAUAGAAUGACAACCCAACUUUAAAAUGGGCAAAGGAUGUGAAUAGAUAUUUCUCCAAAGAAGAUAUACAAAUGAUCAAUAAACAUGGGAAAAGACAGCCAACAUCAUUCAUUGUUAGGAAAAUGAAAAUCAAAACCACAAUGAGAUACCACUUUGUACCCACUAAUAUGGCUAUAAUAAAAAGGACAGAUAAUAAGCGUUGCUGAGGAUGUGGAGAAAUUGGAAACCUCAUCCACUGCUUGGGGAAAUGGAAAAUGGUGCACCCACUUUGGAAAGCAGCUGGCUGUUCUUCAAAACAUUAAACUGAGUUACCAUCCAACCCAGCAAUUCCACUGCUAGUUAUCUACCUGAGAGAAAUGAAAACAUGUCCUCAUAACAACUUUCACAGGAAUGUUCAUAGUAGCAUUAUGCAUAAUAGCAAAGAAGUGGAAACAACUCAUAUGUCCAUAAACUGCUGGAUAAACAAAAGGUGGUAUAUCCAUUCUGUGAAAUAUUAUUUGGUAAUAAAAAGAAAUGAAGUACUGAUGCAUGCAUGGAUGAACCUUGAAAAUAUUUUGCUAAGAAGCCAGUCACAAAAGACCACAUAUUGUAUGUUUCCAUUUAUAUGAAAUAAAACAGACACAUCCAUGGACAGAAAGUAGGUUAGUAGUUGCCUAGGGCUGAGGAGUGAAUGGAUUGUGGGGAGGUGUUGAGAGGUGAAAGCUAAGGGUGUAGGGUUUCUUUUCGUGGUAAUGACAGUGUUCUAAAAUUGAUUGUGGCCAUGGAUGCACAACUCUGUGACUAUACCAAAAACUUAACUCUUACAAUUAUAAAUAAAUUGUAUGGUAUGGGAAUUAUAUUUCAAUGAAAUUGUUAUUAAAAACAACUCUUUGCCCAGCGGACACCCAAACCUUUCCCCAGCGGACACCCAAACCUUUCCCCAAGAUGGCUGUAAAUUAUCUUGGGGUGGGAAUGGGGAGGUCCUCCUUUGGUCCUAGCUCUUGAUCCAAUAAUUCUGACGUCAUCUACAACACGUUUACCUAGAAAUGAAACUCAGCUCUUUGCUGAAGUUCUAUCCUCCCAAACCACCCUUCUUUCCCUUCCUAGGAAGCAUUCAUGAUUUCACUGUAGAUGGGGCAGGG
Molecule: long non-coding RNA, 2513 nt
Filed under: Homo sapiens (human)
Lineage: Eukaryota; Metazoa; Chordata; Mammalia; Primates; Hominidae
Description: HSALNT0033839
Source: RNAcentral